RNAcentral lists this long non-coding RNA (441 nucleotides) under Anser cygnoides (Swan goose). RNAcentral describes it as "lncRNA (ENSACDG00005003769.1)". The record is from RNAcentral. Lineage: Eukaryota; Metazoa; Chordata; Aves; Anseriformes; Anatidae.
AGAAAGAAAGGAAAAAAGGAAAGUGGGGAAAAAAAAGGAAAGCAGGAAAGAAAGAAGGAAGAAAACGAAAGAAAGAAGACAAAAUAAAGAAAGAGCUGAAGGGACCUGCACUAUUGGCAUUCUGCCCCACAGCCAUGUAAAUUUUCCUCCAUCUGAAUGUUCACUGCCGUCUUUUAGAUUCCUCUGCUGACAGUGAAGAGGUCACGCUAAAUCAAACUGACAGAGAAACUGGACAUCAACUUUACCCAGGACGCCCAAAUUAAUUCUACCGAAACAAAAGGGUCAACCUCACUUUGGCUGGCUUGUCUUCUUGAUUUCUUCAUUGGUGGUGCUAAAGAGAGUUGAUGAGACAGGAAGAAAGCAGCAGGGAUUGCUGAGUCUGAACAUCACUUCUGCUAAGCUUGGAGCAGCACUGAAGCUAUUUUAUACAAGACUAGUUCU